RNAcentral lists this ribosomal RNA (251 nucleotides) under uncultured bacterium. RNAcentral describes it as "partial small subunit ribosomal RNA". It matches the Rfam family "Bacterial small subunit ribosomal RNA", at positions 26 to 288 of the family's 1533-position model. The record is from RNAcentral.
AGAACGAACGCUGGCGGCAUGCUUAACACAUGCAAGUCGAACGCUCUCGGGGCUUCGGUUCCGGGGGAGUGGCGCACGGGUGAGUAGCGCGUGGGAACCUGCCCUGUUGUGGGGGAUAACCGAGGGAAACUUCGGCUAAUACCGCAUACGCCCCGGAGUAAUCCGGGGAAAGAUUAUCGCAGCAGGAGGGGCCCGCGUCGGAUUAGGUAGUUGGUGGGGUAACGGCCCGACCAAGCCUGUGAUCCGUAGCU